This 122-nucleotide ribosomal RNA is filed under the name Phytopseudomonas argentinensis. Lineage: Bacteria; Pseudomonadati; Pseudomonadota; Gammaproteobacteria; Pseudomonadales; Pseudomonadaceae. The record is from RNAcentral.
CUUGACGACCAUAGAGCGUUGGAACCACCUGAUCCCAUCCCGAACUCAGUAGUGAAACGAUGCAUCGCCGAUGGUAGUGUGGAGUUUCUCCAUGUGAGAGUAGGUCAUCGUCAAGCUUCUAC